RNAcentral lists this ribosomal RNA (1360 nucleotides) under uncultured bacterium. Its description in RNAcentral is "bacterial SSU rRNA". It matches the Rfam family "Bacterial small subunit ribosomal RNA", at positions 28 to 1381 of the family's 1533-position model. The record is from RNAcentral.
GAUGAACGCUAGCUACAGGCUUAACACAUGCAAGUCGAGGGGCAGCAUGGUCUUAGCUCGCUAAGGCCGAUGGCGACCGGCGCACGGGCGAGUAACGCGUAUCCAACCUGCCUUACACUCUUGGACAGCCUUCUGAAAGGGAGAUUAAUACAAGAUGUUAUCAUGAGUAAGCAUUUUCGCAUGAUUAAAGGUUUACCGGUGUAAGAUGGGGAUGCGUUCCAUUAGAUAGUAGGCGGGGUAACGGCCCACCUAGUCUUCGAUGGAUAGGGGUUCUGAGAGGAAGGUCCCCCACAUUGGAACUGAGACACGGUCCAAACUCCUACGGGAGGCAGCAGUGAGGAAUAUUGGUCAAUGGACGAGAGUCUGAACCAGCCAAGUAGCGUGAAGGAUGAAGGUUCUAUGGAUUGUAAACUUCUUUUAUACGGGAAUAAACGGAUCCACGUGUGGAUUUUUGCAUGUACCGUAUGAAUAAGGAUCGGCUAACUCCGUGCCAGCAGCCGCGGUAAUACGGAGGAUCCGAGCGUUAUCCGGAUUUAUUGGGUUUAAAGGGAGCGUAGAUGGGUUGUUAAGUCAGUUGUGAAAGUUUGCGGCUCAACCGUAAAAUUGCAAUUGAUACUGGCAGUCUUGAGUACAGUUGAGGUAGGCGGAAUUCGUGGUGUAGCGGUGAAAUGCUUAGAUAUCACGAAGAACUCCGAUUGCGAAGGCAGCUUACUAACCUGUAACUGACAUUGAUGCUCGAAAGUGUGGGUAUCAAACAGGAUUAGAUACCCUGGUAGUCCACACGGUAAACGAUGAAUACUCGCUGUAGGCGAUAUACAGUCUGCGGCCAAGCGAAAGCAUUAAGUAUUCCACCUGGGGAGUACGCCGGCAACGGUGAAACUCAAAGGAAUUGACGGGGGCCCGCACAAGCGGAGGAACAUGUGGUUUAAUUCGAUGAUACGCGAGGAACCUUACCCGGGCUUAAAUUGCAACCGAAUAUGGCGGAAACGCUAUAGCUAGCAAUAGCGGUUGUGAAGGUGCUGCAUGGUUGUCGUCAGCUCGUGCCGUGAGGUGUCGGCUUAAGUGCCAUAACGAGCGCAACCCUUGCCGAUAGUUACUAACAGGUUAUGCUGAGGACUCUGUCGGGACUGCCAUCGUAAGAUGUGAGGAAGGUGGGGAUGACGUCAAAUCAGCACGGCCCUUACGUCCGGGGCUACACACGUGUUACAAUGGGGGGUACAGAGGGCUGCUACCACGCAAGUGGAUGCCAAUCCCAAAAACCUCUCUCAGUUCGGAUUGAAGUCUGCAACCCGACUUCAUGAAGCUGGAUUCGCUAGUAAUCGCGCAUCAGCCACGGCGCGGUGAAUACGUUCCCGGGCCU